Molecule: transfer RNA, 70 nt
Filed under: Camelus bactrianus (Bactrian camel)
Lineage: Eukaryota; Metazoa; Chordata; Mammalia; Artiodactyla; Camelidae
Also listed under: 1 other name
Rfam family: tRNA
About the family: Transfer RNA (tRNA) molecules are approximately 80 nucleotides in length. Their secondary structure includes four short double-helical elements and three loops (D, anti-codon, and T loops).
Source: Rfam by way of RNAcentral
GAGGGUAUAGGUCAGUGGUAGAGCGCAUGUCUAGCAUCAUGAGGUCCUGGGUUCAACCCCAGUGCCUUCA